This is a long non-coding RNA of Salvia miltiorrhiza (redroot sage), 2014 nucleotides long. RefSeq lists it as uncharacterized. The record is from RefSeq and is a predicted model, not a curated record. The transcript has 2 exons. Lineage: Eukaryota; Viridiplantae; Streptophyta; Magnoliopsida; Lamiales; Lamiaceae.
AACCAAAGAAAAAAAUUCAUCUGCAAUCUAGAGAGAGAAAGUAGCAGGUGAAGGGUUGGGAGAGAAGGUGAAUAGUGAAGUACUGUUCAAGUGAAUAGUGACAGUCGCGAAUAGUGAAAUUCGUGAAUAGUGAAAAUUAGAUAGUAAUUUUCACGGGGUAUAACGGGUUGUGAGUUGAGUGUUGUGAGUGUUGUAAACACUGUGCAUUUUUCUCCCUUUAAAUAUAUCUGCAGCAGCUCCGGAGACGUAGGCAUAAUUGGCCGAACUCCGUUAUCAAAUUUGUGUCUUUAUUUUUCCGCAUUUAUUUCGCUCUCGCAUAUCUGGUUAGAGGGAAAUCGCAUAUAAUUUCCCAACAUCCAUGCAAUCCAAAAAGCCAAGAUAUGAGGAAAAGAAGAUCACGAAAGAAACAAAAUUUUCAAAGAUUGCAUGCUCAACCUUCCCCUCCAAUUCAAGAUUUCUGACUUCAAAGAUUUGCAGAUUUCUAGCAAAUCUUAUUUUUUUUCAAAAGUGUAGAUUUGCAGCUGACUUUCCUUCCAACUCCCUACACAAAUUUCAACCUUCAUAAUUUCCAUUGUCUACGGAAUCCACUUAUAAAUACAUAGCAUAUCAGUUAACACACAGCUCACUCCACUAGCAAUAACCACACCCGUGCAGAGGAAGUGAAGCCAACAAGCUUCAAAACAAACUUUGCAUACUUCUUAAGCUCAAGUGAGCUCCCUUCGCCAGGCUAUUUCUUCGCCGACCGGCCACUAGGCUCUGAACCGAGAACGUGUACUCGUUCCUCCAUCUUCAGGCUACCAAACCCAACAAUCGAAAGGCCAAAGCCUUCUCUAUAUUUUCCUGACCAAAGGCCGCAAUAUCCUUCGGAGGCCAACGUCGAAUUCCCGACUUAGCCACCGGCCAACUUACGGCUUUCGUUUCUCACUAUCCUUACGACGAAAAAGGAUUGAGAAAACACCGUUGUGUAGCCUGAUCUACCUCGCACGAGGAAGACUAAGUCGUAGACCUUCGCGGCUAAACACCAUCGCGGAACGACGACCAGAAAACCCCCGACGAACAACUUCCAUUAGUGCUCACUUGGACAAGGGUUCAAAUAAACAAAAGCGUCUGAGUAACCUAUCGCGCUAAGGAAAGAGAAUCAUUGUCUUAAGUAGCAAAACACUGCAAUCAGGUGGGCAUUACUUUUACUAUACGUAUAUAGAGAUCCCCUGCGUGUCGUAGGCCUCUUAUACGAAUGAAUGCAUGAGAUGAUUUAACUGUUAAUUUCAGUUUUAUAUAUCUAUCAAACGAGUUUAAUGCUACCUUUGAGCAAGUUAUUUCAUGACAAAAUCUUUGAGUUAAAGUUAUUUCAAGUAUUGUCUUGCCAUAAAAUAUUUAAAUUUUAGUAUGAUAUCUAUCUGCUUUGGCUUUGCCAAUGAUGCAAUCGAAUUCGGGUCCUGAGCAGUUGAUAGCUAUCCUGCCAGGGCUAGUGUACACCAGUGACCGUGAGUCAUCUAGCGGGUUGGCCGGUCAAGUGACCGUGAGAGGUGGCCACAUCUCCGGCACACAGUUUCAGAUAUGAUAGAUUACAAAAGAACUUAGUCUAAUCAGACGAACUUUAAGAAUCACAAAUGAACUUAGUAAGCUUGGGCCUUUUUAGCGAAAAACUCCCUUGCUGUACUGUUUAUGAUGGCAUGACAAUUUACAGUUUUAGAGCAUGUAUUUUUAUACCUAGGCAUACGUGCCCACUGAGUGCUUUUGUACUCAGCCCUGCAUAUGUUUUCUAAAUGUGCAGGUUGAGCUGAUGUGAUGAUGGUGCUGCAAUGAGCGGAGUCUCCAGGGUUGUUAAUAAAUAGUUAACCUGUCUAGAAUAUGUCUUCAUACAUAUGUCUAGCUACUUUCCGCUGCAAGAUGUUGUUGAUGUUAUAGUAUGUUAUGUCAUACUUUGAGUCUUAAGAGAAUGGUUUCAUAUGAUGUAUAACUUGAUUAAUGAUAUUAAUUAAGUUUUAUGCUGUCUUUCAUAGACUAUUUUCAA